UAAUACAUGCAAGUCGAACGAGCUGCGCCUAAUGAUAGUUGAUGCUUGCAUUAACUUGACUUAAGUUAGCAGCGAGUGGCGAACUGGUGAGUAACACGUGGAUAACCUGCCCAGAAGAAGGGGAUAACACCUGGAAACAGAUGCUAAUACCGUAUAACAACGAAAACCACAUGGUUUUCGUUUGAAAGAUGGCCUUUGUGCUAUCGCUUUUGGAUGGAUCCGCGGCGCAUUAGCUAGUUGGUGAGAUAAAGGCUCACCAAGGCAAUGAUGCGUAGCCGACCUGAGAGGGUAAUCGGCCACAUUGGGACUGAGACACGGCCCAGACUCCUACGGGAGGCAGCAGUAGGGAAUCUUCCACAAUGGACGAAAGUCUGAUGGAGCAAUGCCGCGUGAGUGAAGAAGGGUUUCGGCUCGUAAAACUCUGUUGUUAGAGAAGAACGGGCGUGAGAGUAACUGCUCACGUCGCGACGGUAUCUAACCAGAAAGUCACGGCUAACUACGUGCCAGCAGCCGCGGUAAUACGUAGGUGGCAAGCGUUGUCCGGAUUUAUUGGGCGUAAAGCGAGCGCAGGCGGUCUUCUAAGUCUGAUGUGAAAGCCUUCGGCUUAACCGGAGAAGUGCAUCGGAAACUGGGAAACUUGAGUGCAGAAGAGGACAGUGGAACUCCAUGUGUAGCGGUGAAAUGCGUAGAUAUAUGGAGGAACACCAGUGGCGAAGGCGGCUGUCUAGUCUGUAACUGACGCUGAG
This 746-nucleotide ribosomal RNA is filed under the name Lactobacillus sp. RNAcentral describes it as "bacterial SSU rRNA". It matches the Rfam family "Bacterial small subunit ribosomal RNA", at positions 49 to 750 of the family's 1533-position model. The record is from RNAcentral. Lineage: Bacteria; Bacillati; Bacillota; Bacilli; Lactobacillales; Lactobacillaceae.